AGUACGGCCGCAAGGUUAAAACUCAAAUGAAUUGACGGGGGCCCGCACAAGCGGUGGAGCAUGUGGUUUAAUUCGAUGCAACGCGAAGAACCUUACCUGGUCUUGACAUCCACGGAAGUUUUCAGAGAUGAGAAUGUGCCUUCGGGAACCGUGAGACAGGUGCUGCAUGGCUGUCGUCAGCUCGUGUUGUGAAAUGUUGGGUUAAGUCCCGCAACGAGCGCAACCCUUAUCCUUUGUUGCCAGCGGUCCGGCCGGGAACUCAAAGGAGACUGCCAGUGAUAAACUGGAGGAAGGUGGGGAUGACGUCAAGUCAUCAUGGCCCUUACGACCAGGGCUACACACGUGCUACAAUGGCGCAUACAAAGAGAAGCGACCUCGCGAGAGCAAGCGGACCUCAUAAAGUGCGUCGUAGUCCGGAUUGGAGUCUGCAACUCGACUCCAUGAAGUCGGAAUCGCUAGUAAUCGUGGAUCAGAAUGCCACGGUGAAUACGUUCCCGGGCCUUGUACACACCGCCCGUCACACCAUGGGAGUGGGUUGCAAAAGAAGUAGGUAGCUUAACCUUAGGGAGGGCGCUUACCACUUUGUGAUUCAUGACUGGGGUGAAGUCGUAACAAGGUAACCGUAGGGGAACCUGCGGUUG
RNAcentral lists this ribosomal RNA (641 nucleotides) under Escherichia coli. RNAcentral's name for it is "bacterial SSU rRNA". It matches the Rfam family "Bacterial small subunit ribosomal RNA", at positions 879 to 1520 of the family's 1533-position model. The record is from RNAcentral. Lineage: Bacteria; Pseudomonadati; Pseudomonadota; Gammaproteobacteria; Enterobacterales; Enterobacteriaceae.